Molecule: ribosomal RNA, 525 nt
Filed under: Apteronotus albifrons (black ghost)
Lineage: Eukaryota; Metazoa; Chordata; Actinopteri; Gymnotiformes; Apteronotidae
Description: partial 16S ribosomal RNA
Rfam family: Bacterial large subunit ribosomal RNA
Source: RNAcentral
UUUAACGGCCGCGGUAUUUUGACCGUGCAAAGGUAGCGCAAUCACUUGUUUCAUAAAUUGAAACCCGUAUGAAUGGCAAGACGAGGGCUUAACUGUCUCCCCUUUCAGGUCAGUGAAAUUGAUCUGCCCGUGAAGAAGCGGACAUACUUAUACAAGACGAGAAGACCCUUUGGAGCUUAAGACUUAAACCAACUGUGUAACAGACUAAUUACCUUUAGUCAAACUAAACCUUGCACUGACCUACGUCUUCGGUUGGGGCGACCACGGAGAAAAACAAAGCCUCCGCGCAGAAUAGGAAAAACAUUCCUUAAACCAAGAGAGACAUCUCUAAGCCACAGAACAUCUGACUAAAACAGACCCGGGUAUAACACCCGAUUAACGAACCAAGUUACCCUAGGGAUAACAGCGCAAUCCCCUUCCAGAGCCCUUAUCGACAAGGGGGUUUACGACCUCGAUGUUGGAUCAGGACAUCCUAAUGGUGCAGCCGCUAUUAAGGGUUCGUUUGUUCAACGAUUAAAGUCCUAC